RNAcentral lists this ribosomal RNA (223 nucleotides) under uncultured Tellurimicrobium sp. RNAcentral's name for it is "partial 16S ribosomal RNA". It matches the Rfam family "Bacterial small subunit ribosomal RNA", at positions 283 to 523 of the family's 1533-position model. The record is from RNAcentral. Lineage: Bacteria; Pseudomonadati; Acidobacteriota; Blastocatellia; Blastocatellales; Blastocatellaceae.
GUAUCCGGUCUAAGAGGACGGUCGGACACACUGACACUGAAUAACGGGUCAGACUCCUACGGGAGGCAGCAGUCGGGAAUUUUGGGCAAUGGGCGAAAGCCUGACCCAGCAACGCCGCGUGAAGGAUGAAGUUUCUCGGAAUGUAAACUUCGUAAGAAUGGGAAGAAUAAAUGACGGUACCAUUUGUAAGGUCCGGCUAACUACGUGCCAGCAGCCGCGGUAA